Molecule: long non-coding RNA, 975 nt
Organism: Patiria miniata (bat star)
Lineage: Eukaryota; Metazoa; Echinodermata; Asteroidea; Valvatida; Asterinidae
Exons: 3
Source: RefSeq, a predicted model, not a curated record
UACGAACCACGUUUGUCAGACAAUCAAUAUAAGGCCAGUUGCAAAAUCGUCGGAUUGAGAAGAUUGUAAAUUUACUAUCCACAUCACAACCAUAACAAAGACUCAAAUGAAUGACAGAAAAUAUAGCACGGGAUAUAAUAUUAAUAAAACAAAAUAACACGCAGUCGAAUUCAAUUCUAUGAAAUUAAUCAGAUUUGCUGAAUUGUCUUAUUUGUUAAUAUUUAGCUUAUGACUUAAUCGCUGGGGUUGUCGAAGCUUACUUCAACGUUUGGCCGUAUCACUACAAAGAUGAUUACUGUGCUGACGGCAAGACCACUGAUCCUAAAGGCUGCUAUAUCAGCAAGGGAGAAAAGAGAGUCAUUUCUCGGACACUUUGGAUGGACGACAACGUAGAGGAGACUUACUACGUGGCGAAUGUAACCCUGCGUAAUGAGGAUGGCGAACUGUUGUUCUGUGCUAGGUGGAGGGGGAAGUUGUACUAAACUUCAUGACGUCAUGACGUUGUCAUGUGACCAAAGUGGGUUCACAUUUACUGCAGACUUGUCGAUAGGACACUGAAAUGUCAUUAUUUCGAAGACAAACGUAAUCAUUAUCACGGACAAUGUAAUCUUAGUGAGACAUUUCCAUAGGGUUGUAAUUACCCCUAAAGCCAUUUUCCCUUAUCCUACCCCAUGAAUUUUGGUAUAUUUAUGUUUUGGACAACGAGCAAUCAAUCUAGCCUAUUUGCGACGUAACUUUGCCUCUAAAUAGGAGUUGUGACAUUAAGGAGACAUUGAAAUGUCUCCUUAAUGUCCAGCGUCUCCAACAAGAUGUUUUCUUAAGUAUACAUUAACAGGAGUUGUACUCAGAAUAUUGCCAUUAUGUUGAUUAUCAACAGUGUAAACAGAAACCAAAUCCACAUGAUUAUUAGAAAACUGGUUUUUUUUCUAAUUUCUUUAAAAGACCCUCAUUAAAUUAUUGUGAAUUUCGCAAAGC